CCUCUGCUGGUGUUUUGUGAGUGAGCCUAGGAUAGGGCUCUGGGGGAUGUCCUGAACAUUUUUACCUGUGGUAUUUGAAGGCCACUGCUUGUUGGGCAGAUCAGAAUUGAGACCUGGCAUCAGCUGUUUUCUGUAAGAAGCCAUAUGUGGCAGCAAGCAGAGAGGCGUAAUCCCUGUCUCUGUUGGCAAAGUCGACAUCAGGGAGAGAUAAGGACAUCUGGGGCUCUUCAACAGAAUCUUUGCUUGGAUUUUCUUUUUGC
Long non-coding RNA from Lagopus leucura (white-tailed ptarmigan), 260 nucleotides. RefSeq lists it as uncharacterized. NCBI's taxonomy places the organism in Eukaryota, Metazoa, Chordata, Aves, Galliformes, Phasianidae. The record is from RefSeq and is a predicted model, not a curated record. The transcript is spliced from 3 exons.